CCUACGGGUGGCAGCAGUGGGGGAUAUUGCACAAUGGGGGGAACCCUGAUGCAGCGACGCCGCGUGGGUGAAGGAGUGCUUCGGCAUGUAAAGCCCUAUCGGCAGGGAAGAAGCAAGACGGUACCUGACUAAGAAGCCCCGGCUAACUACGUGCCAGCAGCCACGGUAAUACGUAGGGGGCGAGCGUUAUCCGGAUUCACUGGGGGUAAAGGGGGCGUAGACGGCCAUGCAAGCCAGGGGGGAAAGCCCGGGGCCCAACCCCGGGACUGCCCUUGGAACUGUGCGGCUAGAGUGCGGGAGGGGCAGGCGGAAUGCCUGGUGUAGCGGUGAAAUGCGUAGAUAUCAGGAGGAACACCGGCGGCGAAGGCGGCCUGCUGGACUGCGACUGACGUUGAGGCUCGAAAGCGUGGGGAGCGAACAGGAUUAGAUACCCGUGUAGUC
This 441-nucleotide ribosomal RNA is filed under the name uncultured bacterium. RNAcentral's name for it is "partial 16S ribosomal RNA". It matches the Rfam family "Bacterial small subunit ribosomal RNA", at positions 338 to 795 of the family's 1533-position model. The record is from RNAcentral.